GAAGAAAGAGGGGGGCGUGCUUAACACAUGCAAGUCGAACGGUGAAGCGCCUUCCUUUUUGGUGGGUGUGGAUGAGUGGCGAACGGGUGAGUAACACGUGAGUAACCUGCCCCCUUCUUCUGGAUAACCGCAUGGAAGUGUGGCUAAUACGGGAUAUUCUGGGUCUGUCGCAUGAUGGGUCUGGGAAAGAUAUUGUUUCGGUGGGGGAUGGGCUCGCGGCCUAUCAGCUUGUUGGUGGGGUGAUGGCCUACCAAGGCGGUGACGGGUAGCCGGCCUGAGAGGGUGGACGGUCACACUGGGACUGAGACACGGCCCAGACUCCUACGGGAGGCAGCAGUGGGGAAUAUUGCACAAUGGGCGCAAGCCUGAUGCAGCGACGCCGCGUGAGGGAUGGAGGCCUUCGGGUUGUGAACCUCUUUCGCCAGUGAAGCAGGCCUGCCUCGUUUGUGGGUGGGUUGACGGUAGCUGGAGAAGAAGCGCCGGCUAACUACGUG
Molecule: ribosomal RNA, 494 nt
Filed under: uncultured bacterium
Lineage: Bacteria
Description: partial 16S ribosomal RNA
Rfam family: Bacterial small subunit ribosomal RNA
Source: RNAcentral